UUGUCAAUGAUGAGAACUCAUAUGGUCUCGAAGAGAGAUGAUGACCUAAAUAUCAUGCACAAUGGGAUUAUGCUGAGGCUC
The sequence is a small nucleolar RNA, 81 nucleotides long. Its record names the gene SNORD115. It matches the Rfam family "Small nucleolar RNA SNORD115". Rfam says of the family: HBII-52 is a member of the C/D class of snoRNAs, which contain the C (UGAUGA) and D (CUGA) box motifs. The record is from Ensembl.